AGUGAACGCUGGCGGUAGGCCUAACACAUGCAAGUCGAACGGCAGCACAGAGGAGCUUGCUCCUUGGGUGGCGAGUGGCGGACGGGUGAGGAAUACAUCGGAAUCUACUCUGUCGUGGGGGAUAACGUAGGGAAACUUACGCUAAUACCGCAUACGACCUACGGGUGAAAACAGGGGAUCUUCGGACCUUGCGCGAUUGAAUGAGCCGAUGUCGGAUUAGCUAGUUGGCGGGGUAAAGGCCCACCAAGGCGACGAUCCGUAGCUGGUCUGAGAGGAUGAUCAGCCACACUGGAACUGAGACACGGUCCAGACUCCUACGGGAGGCAGCAGUGGGGAAUAUUGGACAAUGGGCGCAAGCCUGAUCCAGCCAUACCGCGUGGGCGAAGAAGGCCUUCGGGUUGUAAAGCCCUUUUGUUGGGAAAGAAAUCCAUCUGGUUAAUACCCGGGCGGGAUGACGGUACCCAAAGAAUAAGCACCGGCUAACUUCGUGCCAGCAGCCGCCGUAA
RNAcentral lists this ribosomal RNA (506 nucleotides) under uncultured bacterium. RNAcentral describes it as "partial 16S ribosomal RNA". It matches the Rfam family "Bacterial small subunit ribosomal RNA", at positions 29 to 523 of the family's 1533-position model. The record is from RNAcentral.